Molecule: ribosomal RNA, 375 nt
Filed under: Parallelostrombidium sp.
Lineage: Eukaryota; Ciliophora; Spirotrichea; Strombidiidae
Description: partial small subunit ribosomal RNA
Rfam family: Eukaryotic small subunit ribosomal RNA
Source: RNAcentral
AGCUCCAAUAGCGUAUAUUAAAGUUGUUGCAGUUAAAAAGCUCGUAGUUGGAUUUCUGGGAGGGUGCCAAUGUCCGUAAUAACGUGUGCAGCGGCGCCCUCUCAUCCUUCUGUUAGCGCCAUUCGGCAUUCGUUUGCCGGUGGCGGGCUCAGAUAUUUUACCUUGAGAAAAUUAGAGUGUUUCAGGCAGGCUAGGCCGGAAUACAUUAGCAUGGAAUAAUGGAAUAGGACUACGGUCUCUUUGUUGGUUUGAGGGACUGGAGUAAUGAUUAAUAGGGAUAGUUGGGGGCAUUAGUAUUUAAUUGUCAGCGGUGAAAUGCUUAGAUUUGUUAAAGACUAACUUAUGCGAAAGCAUUUGCCAAGGAUGUUUUCAUUA